Molecule: long non-coding RNA, 568 nt
Filed under: Vitis vinifera (wine grape)
Lineage: Eukaryota; Viridiplantae; Streptophyta; Magnoliopsida; Vitales; Vitaceae
Description: long non-coding RNA (VVIN_LNC001865)
Source: RNAcentral
CGGCAGGACUCCGUUACACAGGUCGACGUCGGAGUAGUAGACUUUAACUGAGCUGUCUUCCUCGUAGUAGAUACUGAUCUUCUUGUUUGGGUUGUCGGCCCUGACGGUGACAUCGAACUCCGGCGAGAUCGACGCUGUCGCGGCCGCCGAGGAGACAUUGAAGCCGGUGAUGGAGAUGUCCUCGACGGAGUAGCUGAGGGCCUUGGGCCGGAUAACGAGGUAGAAAAUACCAGCGGCGAUGGCGAGUAGGAAGAUGAGGAGCGCGGCGAGGCCGAGGAACCAGCAGAGGCAGCAGCAGCAGCCGCUCCGUCGAGGCUUCCGGCCACUGUACUUCUGGUAGCGGCGGGCGUUUUCGGGAGGCGGGUGGCGGAAGAUCUGGUCCUUGGGGAUCUGGAUGACAUAGGUCCCCGCGGGAGGGACGGGAUUUUCCGGCGUUGGAGGAUUGGAAUUGGACGGGGAUUGGGGUGGGCGAGGCGACGUCGCAUCAGGAGAAGAGGCUUUGGGGUGAACUCGAUCAGCCAUUGCUCUGGACUUGAGUGGUUGUAAGAAAUGAAUAGAAGAAGAGUAG